This 263-nucleotide unclassified non-coding RNA is filed under the name fungal sp. Its description in RNAcentral is "partial internal transcribed spacer region". The stretch from base 1 to 46 matches the Rfam family "Eukaryotic small subunit ribosomal RNA", at positions 1786 to 1831 of the family's 1831-position model. The record is from RNAcentral. Lineage: Eukaryota; Fungi.
AAGUCGUAACAAGGUUUCCGUAGGUGAACCUGCGGAAGGAUCAUUACAAAUCCACAUUCACGUCUCACACCCUGAGACCACGUUGAAAUGUUGUUGUUGUUGUCUGUGAGCUGCUGCUACUGUGUGUGAUUCAUUUCGCAUGCUUUGCUACUCACAUACACACAUCACAAACUAGUAGUAUCUGUUGCUCAAAUGUAUCUUUCUUGAUUGUGAUGAUCAAGGCAAACAAAGUACAACUUAUAACAAUGGAUCUCUAGGCUCUU